Molecule: ribosomal RNA, 396 nt
Filed under: uncultured bacterium
Lineage: Bacteria
Description: bacterial SSU rRNA
Rfam family: Bacterial small subunit ribosomal RNA
Source: RNAcentral
GACGAACGCUGGCGGCGUGCUUAACACAUGCAAGUGGAGCGACGAAACGGGCUUCGGCCCGUGGCAAAGCCGCGAACGGGUGAGUAACACGUGGGUAACCUGCCCCGAUGACCGGGACAACCCGGGGAAACCCGGGCUAAUACCGGAUGUGGUACCUCCACAUGAGUGGAUGUACUAAAGGUAGCUUCGGCCUCCGCAUCGGGAUGGGCCCGCGGCGCAUUAGCUUGUUGGUGGGGUAAUGGCCUACCAAGGCGACGAUGCGUAGCUGGUCUGAGAGGACGAUCAGCCACACUGGGACUGAGACACGGCCCAGACUCCUACGGGAGGCAGCAGUGGGGAAUCUUGCGCAAUGGUCUAACGACUGACGCAGCGACGCCGCGUGUGGGAGGACGCCUC